CUCCUGGAAACGGGUGGUAAUGCCGGAUGUUCCACAUGAGCGCAUGCGAGUGUGGGAAAGGCUUUUUGCGGCAUGGGAUGGGGUCGCGUCCUAUCAGCUUGUUGGUGGGGUAACGGCCUACCAAGGCGUUGACGGGUAGCCGGCCUGAGAGGGCGACCGGCCACAUUGGGACUGAGAUACGGCCCAGACUCCUACGGGAGGCAGCAGUGGGGAAUAUUGCACAAUGGGCGCAAGCCUGAUGCAGCGACGCCGCGUGCGGGAUGGAGGCCUUCGGGUUGUAAACCGCUUUUGUCGGGGAGCAAGCCUUCGGGUGAGUGUACCCUUCGAAUAAGCACCGGCUAACUACGUGCCAGCAGCCGCGGUAAUACGUAGGGUGCAAGCGUUAUCCGGAUUUAUUGGGCGUAAAGGGCUCGUAGGCGGUUCGUCGCGUCCGGUGUGAAAGUCCAUCGCUUAACGGUGGAUCCGCGCCGGGUACGGGCGGGCUUGAGUGCGGUAGGGGAGACUGGAAUUCCCGGUGUAACGGUGGAAUGUGUAGAUAUCGGGAAGAACACC
This 552-nucleotide ribosomal RNA is filed under the name uncultured bacterium. Its description in RNAcentral is "bacterial SSU rRNA". It matches the Rfam family "Bacterial small subunit ribosomal RNA", at positions 147 to 710 of the family's 1533-position model. The record is from RNAcentral.